RNAcentral lists this ribosomal RNA (474 nucleotides) under uncultured bacterium. RNAcentral's name for it is "partial 16S ribosomal RNA". It matches the Rfam family "Bacterial small subunit ribosomal RNA", at positions 28 to 523 of the family's 1533-position model. The record is from RNAcentral.
GACGAACGCUGGCGGUGUGCUUCAUACAUGCAAGUCGAGCGAUAAGGCCCCUUCGGGGGUACAUAAGCGGCGGACGGGUGAGUAAUACGUAGGAAAUCUGCCUUAAGGAGGGGGAUACCACCGGGAAACUGGUGCUAAUACCGCAUAUGAGUCGAGCUGAACUGCUUGCCUUGAAAGUUCCGGCGCCUUAAGAUGAGCCUGCGGCUGAGUAGCUAGUGGGUGGGGUAAAGGCCUACCAAGGCGACGAUCAGUAGCUGGUCUGAGAGGAUGAUCAGCCACAAUGGGACUGAGACACGGCCCAUACUCCUACGGGAGGCAGCAGUAGGGAAUUUUGCGCAAUGGGCGAAAGCCUGACGCAGCAACACCGCGUGAGUGACGAAGCCCCUUGGGGUGUAAAACUCUGUCAGUGGGGACGAAGCCUUACGGUACCCACAGAGGAAGCAUCGGCUAACUACGUGCCAGCCGCCGCCGUAA